Molecule: transfer RNA, 73 nt
Filed under: Vicugna pacos (alpaca)
Lineage: Eukaryota; Metazoa; Chordata; Mammalia; Artiodactyla; Camelidae
Description: tRNA-Ala (AGC) (tRNA-Ala-AGC-374 1 to 4)
Rfam family: tRNA
About the family: Transfer RNA (tRNA) molecules are approximately 80 nucleotides in length. Their secondary structure includes four short double-helical elements and three loops (D, anti-codon, and T loops). Further hydrogen bonds mediate the characteristic L-shaped molecular structure. tRNAs have two regions of fundamental functional importance: the anti-codon, which is responsible for specific mRNA codon recognition, and the 3' end, to which the tRNAs corresponding amino acid is attached (by aminoacyl-tRNA synthetases). tRNAs cope with the degeneracy of the genetic code in two manners: having more than one tRNA (with a specific anti-codon) for a particular amino acid; and 'wobble' base-pairing, i.e. permitting non-standard base-pairing at the 3rd anti-codon position.
Source: RNAcentral
GGAGGGUAUAGCUCAGUGGUAGAGUGUGUGCUUAGCAUGCAUGAGGUCCUGGGUUCAAUCCCCAGUACCUCCA